AUGAAGUUAUGUUUCCAUUUGAUUGCAAAUAUAGGUGCUAUCAUGGCAGCAAGCACAGGGGCUUCAGGAUGGCUAAGGGGCAAGGUGAAGGCUAUGACAUCUGGAGACUGCCUUCUCAUCAUGGGGAGCACAAAGGCAGAGAUUCCACCAGAGAAGUCCAUCACUCUGUCAUACCUUAUGGCCCCAAGGCUGGCUCGUCGUGGUGGAGUGGAUGAGCCAUUUGCUUGGGAAAGCAGGGAGUAUCUGAGGAAACUCUACGUAGGAAAGGAGGUCACAUUUAGAGUGGAUUACACUGCUCCUAACAUCGGACAAGUAUUUGGCAUUGUCUACUUUGGCGACAAGAACGUUGCCUACUUGGUGGUUGCUGCAGGAUGGGCAAGGGUGAUUACCAUUUACUUUUUCCUCAAUUGUUUUGUUGUGCCAAAUGUCCAAAAGGGGGGUGAAACAAUCCCAAAUGUCCAAAAGGGGGGGUGA
This 474-nucleotide ribosomal RNA is filed under the name Triticum aestivum (bread wheat). Its description in RNAcentral is "partial small subunit ribosomal RNA". Lineage: Eukaryota; Viridiplantae; Streptophyta; Magnoliopsida; Poales; Poaceae. The record is from RNAcentral.